UGCACUUAGAGUUUUGAUCUCUCAAGGAUAGGUUCGAGUCCUAUUUUUUUAGGAA
Molecule: transfer RNA, 55 nt
Filed under: Pseudoeurycea aurantia
Lineage: Eukaryota; Metazoa; Chordata; Amphibia; Caudata; Plethodontidae
Description: partial tRNA-Gln
Source: RNAcentral